RNAcentral lists this ribosomal RNA (253 nucleotides) under uncultured bacterium. RNAcentral describes it as "partial 16S ribosomal RNA". It matches the Rfam family "Bacterial small subunit ribosomal RNA", at positions 524 to 776 of the family's 1533-position model. The record is from RNAcentral.
AACGUAGGUGGCAAGCGUUGUCCGGAUUUACUGGGCGUAAAGGGCGUGCAGGCGGUUUGUUAAGUUCAGGGUGAAAGCUCCCGGCUCAACUGGGAGAGGUCCUUGGAUACUGGCAGACUUGAGGAGGGUAGAGGAGAGUGGAAUUCCCGGUGUAGUGGUGAUAUGCGUAGAUAUCGGGAGGAACACCAGUGGCGAAGGCGGCUCUCUGGGCCCUACCUGACGCUGAGACGCGAAAGCGUGGGGAGCGAACCGG